GGGAUAACACCUGGAAACAGGUGCUAAUACCGCAUAACAGAAGGGGACGCAUGUUUCUUUCUUGAAAACUCCGGUGGUACGGGAUGGACCCGCGUCUGAUUAGCUGGUUGGCGGGGUAACGGCCCACCAAGGCGACGAUCAGUAGCCGGCCUGAGAGGGCGGACGGCCACAUUGGGACUGAGACACGGCCCAAACUCCUACGGGAGGCAGCAGUGGGGAAUAUUGCACAAUGGGGGAAACCCUGAUGCAGCGACGCCGCGUGAGUGAAGAAGCGUUUCGGCGCGUAAAGCUCUGUCAGCGGGGAAGAAACACGGUUCGCGAGGGCCGCGGACGGUACCCGACCAAGAAGCCCCGGCUAACUACGUGCCAGCAGCCGCGGUAAUACGUAGGGGGCAAGCGUUAUCCGGAUUCACUGGGUGUAAAGGGAGCGUAGACGGCGAGACAAGUCUGGAGUGAAAGGCCGGGGCCCAACCCCGGGACUGCUCUGGAAACUGCCUGGCUGGAGUACAGGAGAGGUAAGUGGAAUUCCUAGUGUAGCGGUGAAAUGCGUAGAUAUUAGGAGGAACACCAGUGGCGAAGGCGGCUUACUGGACUGUAACUGACGUUGAGGCUCGAAAGCGUGGGGAGCAAACAGGAUUAGAUACCCUGGUAGUCCACGCCGUAAACGAUGAUCACUAGGUGUCGGGGGUUAGAAGGCCCCCGGUGCCGCAG
Molecule: ribosomal RNA, 711 nt
Filed under: uncultured bacterium
Lineage: Bacteria
Description: bacterial SSU rRNA
Rfam family: Bacterial small subunit ribosomal RNA
Source: RNAcentral